Molecule: ribosomal RNA, 273 nt
Filed under: Bacillaceae bacterium ISOM149_OTU1480
Lineage: Bacteria; Bacillati; Bacillota; Bacilli; Caryophanales; Bacillaceae
Also listed under: 2 other names
Description: partial 16S ribosomal RNA
Rfam family: Bacterial small subunit ribosomal RNA
Source: RNAcentral
ACGAACGCUGGCGGCGUGCCUAAUACAUGCAAGUCGAGCGGACCUUGAGAGAGCUUGCUCUCUCAAAGUUAGCGGCGGACGGGUGAGUAACACGUGGGUAACCUGCCUGUAAGACGGGGAUAACUCCGGGAAACCGGAGCUAAUACCGGAUAAUAAAGGGAAGUGCAUACUUCCUUUUUGAAAGUCGGCUUCUAGCUGACGCUUACAGAUGGGCCCGCGGCGCAUUAGCUAGUUGGUGAGGUAACGGCUCACCAAGGCGACGAUGCGUAGCCG